RNAcentral lists this ribosomal RNA (438 nucleotides) under Triticum aestivum (bread wheat). Its description in RNAcentral is "partial small subunit ribosomal RNA". Lineage: Eukaryota; Viridiplantae; Streptophyta; Magnoliopsida; Poales; Poaceae. The record is from RNAcentral.
AUGCCUAAGAUAAAGACGAGCCGUGUGAAGUAUCCUGAAGGAUGGGAGCUUAUUGAACCAACUCUCCGUGAUUUGGAAGCCAAAAUGAGAGAAGCCGAGAACGACACACAUGAUGGGAAGAGGAAGUGUGAGGCUCUCUGGCCAAUCUUCCGUAUUUCUCACCAAAAGAGCCGUUAUAUAUAUGAUCUCUACUAUCGAAGGAAGGAGAUAAAAAGGGAGCUGUAUGAGUUUUGCUUGGACCAAGGUUAUGCAGACAAAAAUCUGAUUGCUAAAUGGAAAAAGCCAGGUUAUGAGCGCCUCUGCUGCCUCCGCUGCAUACAGACACGAGACCACAACUUUGCAACCACCUGCGUCUGCAGGGUCCCCAAGCACCUCAGGGAAGAGACGGUGAUAGAAUGCGUCCACUGCGGAUGCAAGGGCUGUGCCAGCGGCGAUUGA